UACGGAGGGGGCUAGCGUUGUUCGGAAUUACUGGGCGUAAAGCGCGCGUAGGCGGACCUGCAAGUCGGUGGUGAAAGCCCGAGGCUCAACCUCGGAACUGCCUUCGAUACUGCGGGUCUCGAGUCCGGGAGAGGUGAGUGGAAUUCCUAGUGUAGAGGUGAAAUUCGUAGAUAUUAGGAAGAACACCAGUGGCGAAGGCGGCUCACUGGCCCGGUACUGACGCUGAGGCGCGAAAGCGUGGGGAGCAAACAGG
This 253-nucleotide ribosomal RNA is filed under the name uncultured bacterium. RNAcentral describes it as "partial 16S ribosomal RNA". It matches the Rfam family "Bacterial small subunit ribosomal RNA", at positions 524 to 776 of the family's 1533-position model. The record is from RNAcentral.